RNAcentral lists this transfer RNA (77 nucleotides) under Candidatus Firestoneibacteriota bacterium. RNAcentral's name for it is "tRNA-Pro". It matches the Rfam family "tRNA". Rfam says of the family: Transfer RNA (tRNA) molecules are approximately 80 nucleotides in length. Their secondary structure includes four short double-helical elements and three loops (D, anti-codon, and T loops). Further hydrogen bonds mediate the characteristic L-shaped molecular structure. tRNAs have two regions of fundamental functional importance: the anti-codon, which is responsible for specific mRNA codon recognition, and the 3' end, to which the tRNAs corresponding amino acid is attached (by aminoacyl-tRNA synthetases). tRNAs cope with the degeneracy of the genetic code in two manners: having more than one tRNA (with a specific anti-codon) for a particular amino acid; and 'wobble' base-pairing, i.e. permitting non-standard base-pairing at the 3rd anti-codon position. The record is from RNAcentral. Lineage: Bacteria; Candidatus Firestoneibacteriota.
CGGGGCGUAGCGCAGUUGGCUAGCGCACCUGCUUUGGGAGCAGGGGGUCGGAGGUUCAAAUCCUCUCGCCCCGACCA